RNAcentral lists this ribosomal RNA (465 nucleotides) under Vreelandella stevensii. RNAcentral's name for it is "partial 16S ribosomal RNA". It matches the Rfam family "Bacterial small subunit ribosomal RNA", at positions 338 to 795 of the family's 1533-position model. The record is from RNAcentral. Lineage: Bacteria; Pseudomonadati; Pseudomonadota; Gammaproteobacteria; Oceanospirillales; Halomonadaceae.
CCUACGGGUGGCUGCAGUGGGGAAUAUUGGACAAUGGGCGAAAGCCUGAUCCAGCCAUGCCGCGUGUGUGAAGAAGGCCUUCGGGUUGUAAAGCACUUUCAGUGGGGAAGAAAGCCUUGGGGCUAAUACCCUCGAGGAAGGACAUCACCCACAGAAGAAGCACCGGCUAACUCCGUGCCAGCAGCCGCGGUAAUACGGAGGGUGCGAGCGUUAAUCGGAAUUACUGGGCGUAAAGCGCGCGUAGGCGGUCUGAUAAGCCGGUUGUGAAAGCCCCGGGCUCAACCUGGGAACGGCAUCCGGAACUGCCAGGCUAGAGUGCAGGAGAGGAAGGUAGAAUUCCCGGUGUAGCGGUGAAAUGCGUAGAGAUCGGGAGGAAUACCAGUGGCGAAGGCGGCCUUCUGGACUGACACUGACGCUGAGGUGCGAAAGCGUGGGUAGCAAACAGGAUUAGAUACCCCGGUAGUC